This is a long non-coding RNA of Poecile atricapillus (Black-capped chickadee), 732 nucleotides long. RefSeq lists it as uncharacterized. The transcript has 3 exons. The record is from RefSeq and is a predicted model, not a curated record. Lineage: Eukaryota; Metazoa; Chordata; Aves; Passeriformes; Paridae.
GGACAGAUGGACACUGACCAUCCCUGACCAUCCCCUGGUCAUCAUUGAUCAUCAUUGAUCACCCCUGGUCAUCAUUGACCAUCACUGACCAUCCCUGAUCACCCAUGGUCGGCGUUGGAGAUGUCGAACACCGCGCCCACCGCGGCCGUGUCCACCCCACCUGGAUGGACAGAUGGACACUGACCAUCACUGACCAUCCCUGACCAUCACUGACCAUCCCUGACCAUCACUGACCAUCCCUGAUCACCCCUGGUCAUCAUUGAUCAUCCCUGAUCAUCCCUGAUCAUCACUGACCAUCACUGACCAUCCCUGACCAUCACUGACCAUCACUGACCAUCCCUGAUCACCCAUGGUCGGCGUUGGAGAUGUCGAACACCGCGCCCACCGCGGCCGUGUCCACCCCACCCGGAUGGACAGAUGGACACUGACCAUCACUGACCACCCCUGGUCACCCCUGAUGGACACUGACCAUCCCUGACCAUCCCUGACCACUCAGUGACCAUCACUGACCAUCACUGACCAUCCCUGACCAUCACUGACCAUCCCUGACCAUCACUGACCAUCAUUGAUCACCCAGGGUUCCACUGUGUCCACCCCACCUGGAUGGACAGAUGGACACUGACCAUCCCUGACCACUCAGUGACCAGUCAUGACCAUCCCUGAUCACCCCUGACCAUCACUGACCAUCACUGACCAUCCCUGACCAUCCCUGACCAUCACUGACCAUCCCUG